GACGUACGCUGGCGGCGUGCUUAACACAUGCAAGUCGAACGGAAAGGCCCUGCUUGCAGGGUACUCGAGUGGCGAACGGGUGAGUAACACGUGGGUGAUCUGCCCUGCACUUCGGGAUAAGCCUGGGAAACUGGGUCUAAUACCGGAUAGGAGCCAUUUUUAGUGUGAUGGUUGGAAAGUUUUUUCGGUGUAGGAUGAGCUCGCGGCCUAUCAGCUUGUUGGUGGGGUAAUGGCCUACCAAGGCGGCGACGGGUAGCCGGCCUGAGAGGGUGGACGGCCACAUUGGGACUGAGAUACGGCCCAGACUCCUACGGGAGGCAGCAGUGGGGAAUAUUGCACAAUGGGCGCAAGCCUGAUGCAGCGACGCCGCGUGGGGGAUGACGGCCUUCGGGUUGUAAACUCCUUUCGCUAGGGACGAAGCUUUUGUGACGGUACCUAGAUAAGAAGCACCGGCUAACUACGUG
Molecule: ribosomal RNA, 464 nt
Filed under: uncultured bacterium
Lineage: Bacteria
Description: partial 16S ribosomal RNA
Rfam family: Bacterial small subunit ribosomal RNA
Source: RNAcentral